UACAAGAAAUACUUGAAAGAUUUUGGCAAACAAACGACAGCCUUGACGUGAGAUAAAUAUUGAACAACAUUCACACGAGAAAGUAAAGUUGUCAAGGAAAACUUGUUGAUUGUACACACGAGAAAGUAAACUUGUCAAGGAAAACUUGUUGACUGUACACACGAGAAGGUAAGCUUGUCAAGGAAAACUUGUUGACUGUACACACGAGAAGGUAAGCUUGUCAAGGAAAACUUGUUGACUGUACACACGAGAAGGUAAGCUUGUCAAGGAAAACUUGUUGACUGUACACACGAGAAGGUAAACUUGUCAAGGAAAACUUGUUGACUGUACACACGAGAAAGUAAACUUGUCAAGGAAAACUUGUUGACUGUACACACGAGAAAGUAAA
Paramuricea clavata is the source of this 388-nucleotide non-coding RNA. The record is from the annotation of a GenBank genome assembly. NCBI's taxonomy places the organism in Eukaryota, Metazoa, Cnidaria, Anthozoa, Malacalcyonacea, Plexauridae.